UAUUUUAUUUUUUUAUUCUCGAAAUCUUGCAGUAUGCCUGUCACGGAAUACCGACCCCCACAGAAGGACAAAUGAGUGAGAUGCAAUCAUUUGAAGUAAUGAAACAAAAGCUGUUCAAUGAGCCUCUGGAGAGGUGAAAGGAGAAAGAGAAAGGCCUCAGGCUAAAGACAUUAUGGCUGGGAAACUCACGGUUUUGAUGCAGCCUGGGCAUUUGGUAAAUGUCAAUGAAAGAUACACACAGUGAGAAGCCGCUUCAGGAAUCACACUGAGAGAUUUCACUGGACGGGAAGCAGAGCAUCCAAACAAUGAGGCUGUAGCAAGCAGGAAAAAGCACAAAAUGUUGUUCUUCCAGCUAAUUCUGCACACAGAGAAAGAUGUCAACACACGUCAAAACUGCAACCGCGUUUGAGAAGACACGCGGAACUCUGCAAAUGCCAUCGCUGUUUGCAGAGCUCGAGCUGCAGAGAAGUCGUAUGCUUUUCAAUCUGUUUUUUUAUUUUUACUCUUCUGCUGUUUUAAAAUAAACCGGGUAAUUCUGGUUCUUGGCUUUUGAAUGUG
RNAcentral lists this long non-coding RNA (558 nucleotides) under Rattus norvegicus (Norway rat). Its description in RNAcentral is "long non-coding RNA NONRATT030330". The record is from RNAcentral. Lineage: Eukaryota; Metazoa; Chordata; Mammalia; Rodentia; Muridae.